Molecule: unclassified non-coding RNA, 377 nt
Filed under: uncultured bacterium
Lineage: Bacteria
Description: contains 16S-23S intergenic spacer region
Source: RNAcentral
UCGCGGCUUAUCACCGGCAGUCCCCUUAGAGUGCCCAACUAAAUGAUGGCAACUAAGGGCGAGGGUUGCGCUCGUUGCGGGACUUAAACCAACAUCUCACGACACGAGCUGACGACAACCAUGCAGCACCUCUGCUGGCUUCCUUGCGGAUCAGUCCAUGUUUCCAAAGACUUACUACCAGUAGUUCAAGCCCAGGUAAGGUUCUUCGCGUUGCGUCGAAUUAAACCACAUGCUCCACCGCUUGUGCGGGCCCCCGUCAAUUCCUUUGAGUUUCAACCUUGCGGCCGUACUCCCCAGGCGGGAUACUUACUCCGUUAGGUGCGGCACCGGCGGUAACCCGCCGACACUUAGUGUCCAUCGUUUAGGGCGUGGACUAC